Molecule: transfer RNA, 69 nt
Filed under: Marmota marmota marmota (Alpine marmot)
Lineage: Eukaryota; Metazoa; Chordata; Mammalia; Rodentia; Sciuridae
Also listed under: 3 other names
Rfam family: tRNA
About the family: Transfer RNA (tRNA) molecules are approximately 80 nucleotides in length.
Source: Rfam by way of RNAcentral
GGGGCUAUAGCUCAGAGGUAGAGCACUUGCCUAGCAUGCGUGAGGCACUGGGUUCGAUCCUUAGCACCA